Molecule: ribosomal RNA, 441 nt
Filed under: uncultured bacterium
Lineage: Bacteria
Description: partial 16S ribosomal RNA
Rfam family: Bacterial small subunit ribosomal RNA
Source: RNAcentral
CCUACGGGUGACAGCAGUGAGGAAUAUUGGUCAAUGGACGCAAGUCUGAACCAGCCAUGCCGCGUGCAGGAAGACGGCUCUAUGAGUUGUAAAGAUCUUUAAUCGGGGACGAAUUUUGACGGUACCCGAAGAAUAAGCUCCGGCUAACUACGUGCCAGCAGCCGCGGUAAUACGUAGGGAGCAAGCGUUAUCCGGAUUUAUUGGGUUUAAAGGGUGCGUAGGCGGUCCGUUAAGUCAGCGGUAAAAUUGCGGGGCUCAACCCCGUCGAGCCGUUGAAACUGGCAGACUUGAGUUGGCGAGAAGUACGCGGAAUGCGCGGUGUAGCGGUGAAAUGCAUAGAUAUCGCGCAGAACUCCGAUUGCGAAGGCAGCGUACCGGCGCCAGACUGACGCUGAGGCACGAAAGCGUGGGGAUCGAACAGGAUUAGAUACCCCAGUAGUC